Long non-coding RNA from Haliotis rubra (blacklip abalone), 1042 nucleotides. RefSeq lists it as uncharacterized. The record is from RefSeq and is a predicted model, not a curated record. NCBI's taxonomy places the organism in Eukaryota, Metazoa, Mollusca, Gastropoda, Lepetellida, Haliotidae. The transcript is spliced from 2 exons.
ACUUUUCUCCAAACACUCUGGCUAAAGUGAAAGUAGCAACCCUUUAAUAUGGCAUUUUGAAAAGUCAUCUUGAUGGCGUUUUGAGCAGCUGACUCAAAAUCAGUGAACACACUCACUGGAUCCAAUACAAUGUUCUUAGAGGCCGCUACAUUCUUCACAUUUUCAAAGAAACGUUCAUAUGUCGACUGCUUUUUAUCUGGGAGCAGACCAUACACCAAAGGGCACAUCUUAUUUUGCACAAAUGCAUGAAUGGUGUAAAGCUGGGUGAACACACCAGGGCACUUGUCAAAUGUUCCGUCACAGUAGUACACAUCUGCUUCGGAGAGAAGUCGCAGGUUCUCGUCAGUCGCGAAGGUCAGGAUCUUGUCAUGGUCGCCGUGAGAAAACAGCAGGAAGUUGUCAUUGGCAUGCGUCUUAGUAUAUGCAUCGGGAAGAUCUAUUGCUGAUCUAGUUGCUGGCAGAUGGGGAUGUCUUUGGCUCGGGAGCGGUAUAGAGCAGGACGUACACUGUCAAAGAUGGGCACUUCUGCAAUGAUGUCAGGAUUCAUCACUCUCAGACCUAGAACAGAGAAACACAAUUAUUUAAUAGUAAUUAAAAAGUUGCCAAGUAUUUAUGUUAAUAUUUACCUGAUAACUCCUCCUGAUAAAGAGAUGGAAUUGGUUUGGAAUCUUUUCGGACAAGGUCCUUAAGAUUGGCCAAGAAAGAAUCUACAGCGAUUCUAUUCUCCACAGAUGCAUGGUUAUGCUGGUCUCUGUAGGACGUGAGAAUAUUAUCUUUGGUGUUAACCGUGGCAUGGCAGUUCUUCUGGGCGCAGUUCAAUGGACAGAUGUUCCUCGUCUUCUUUUAACUACAAACUUGUAAUUUUGGAACACUAAGUACUGACCACCUCUACCAUUAGGAAUAAACUGGACAUUAACCUGUUGGUUAGCCAUCGUGACUGACCUUAAAGAACCUCAUGUACCAUUUUAUAAUCGUGUAAUAGUGAAAAGUGUUCACUGAAUUAAAAAAACACAAAUAGCAUAAUCGACACAAUUUAAUUAAA